GUCCUAUGAUGGUGUCCCUUGAAUAGAUAUGCGGACUGAGUUGGCAACGGGGUUUGUUGCAGAGAUUGAUUCCUGGGUUAGUGUUUUGAUUGUGUGGUAUGUAGUUGCUGGUGAGUAUUUGCUUCAGGUUGGGCGGCUGUCUAUAAGCGAGGACUAAUUGGUCUCCCAACAUCUGUGAGAGUGUGGG
Molecule: long non-coding RNA, 187 nt
Organism: Dermochelys coriacea (leatherback sea turtle)
Lineage: Eukaryota; Metazoa; Chordata; Testudines; Dermochelyidae
Exons: 4
Source: RefSeq, a predicted model, not a curated record